Molecule: long non-coding RNA, 186 nt
Organism: Telopea speciosissima
Lineage: Eukaryota; Viridiplantae; Streptophyta; Magnoliopsida; Proteales; Proteaceae
Exons: 3
Source: RefSeq, a predicted model, not a curated record
UGUAUUUGUAGCACUAGGCUUCUUUUAAUAAUUUAUAUUUGUAGUCAUGGAGCUGAAGUCCUUCUUUGGCCCUUCCCAAGAUAGACAACACGAUUGCAGAUAUGUGCCUUGAAGUAAGCCCUGCUUCUUGAAUCUGAUCUUGUGGGAAUCCAUGGUUAAUGUAUCUGUCAGGUAGCACCAUUGAUC